UACAGAGGUGGCAAGCGUUGUUCGGAAUUACUGGGCGUAAAGGGUGCGUAGGCGGCCUUCUAAGUCAGACGUGAAAUCCCCCGGCUUAACCUGGGAACUGCGUCUGAUACUGGGAGGCUUGAGUAUGGGAGAGGGAUGUAGAAUUCCAGGUGUAGCGGUGAAAUGCGCAGAUAUCGGGAAGAACACCCGUGGCGAAGGCGGCUCUCUGGGACGGUACUGACGCUGAGACGCGAAAGCGUGGGGAGCGAACAGG
RNAcentral lists this ribosomal RNA (253 nucleotides) under uncultured bacterium. RNAcentral describes it as "partial 16S ribosomal RNA". It matches the Rfam family "Bacterial small subunit ribosomal RNA", at positions 524 to 776 of the family's 1533-position model. The record is from RNAcentral.